This 493-nucleotide ribosomal RNA is filed under the name uncultured bacterium. Its description in RNAcentral is "bacterial SSU rRNA". It matches the Rfam family "Bacterial small subunit ribosomal RNA", at positions 903 to 1397 of the family's 1533-position model. The record is from RNAcentral.
AAAGGAAUAGACGGGGGCCCGCACAAGCGGUGGAGCAUGUGGUUUAAUUCGAAGCAACGCGAAGAACCUUACCAGGUCUUGACAUCUAGCGCCAAUCCCAGAGAUGGGACGUUUCCUUCGGGAACGCUAAGACAGGUGGUGCAUGGUUGUCGUCAGCUCGUGUCGUGAGAUGUUGGGUUAAGUCCCGCAACGAGCGCAACCCUUAUUACUAGUUGCCAGCAUUAAGAUGGGCACUCUAGUGAGACUGCCGGUGACAAACCGGAGGAAGGUGGGGAUGACGUCAAAUCAUCAUGCCCCUUAUGACCUGGGCUACACACGUGCUACAAUGGGCGGUACAACGAGUUGCGAACUUGUGAAAGUAAGCGAAUCUCUAAAAACCGUUCUCAGUUCGGAUUGUAGGCUGCAACUCGCCUACAUGAAGCUGGAAUCGCUAGUAAUCGUGGAUCAGCAUGCCACGGUGAAUACGUUCCCGGGCCUUGUACACACCGCCCGU